RNAcentral lists this transfer RNA (72 nucleotides) under Batrachospermum sp. Its description in RNAcentral is "tRNA-Ala". It matches the Rfam family "tRNA". Rfam says of the family: Transfer RNA (tRNA) molecules are approximately 80 nucleotides in length. The record is from RNAcentral. Lineage: Eukaryota; Rhodophyta; Florideophyceae; Batrachospermales; Batrachospermaceae.
GGGAGUAUAGUUAAAUCGGUAUAACAUAUGUUUUGCGUAUAUAAGGUACAGGUUCGAGUCCUGUUAUUUCCA